Molecule: ribosomal RNA, 209 nt
Filed under: uncultured bacterium
Lineage: Bacteria
Description: partial 16S ribosomal RNA
Rfam family: Bacterial small subunit ribosomal RNA
Source: RNAcentral
UCGGAUUGUAGUCUGNAACCCGACUACAUGAAGCUGGAAUCGCUAGUAAUCGCGGAUCAGAAUGCCGCGGUGAAUACGUUCCCGGGUCUUGUACACACCGCCCGUCACACCAUGGGAGUCGAUAACGCCCGAAGUCAGUGACCCAACCGUUAAGGAGGGAGCUGCCGAAGGCGGGAUUGAUAACUGGGGUGAAGUCGUAACAAGGUACC